RNAcentral lists this ribosomal RNA (253 nucleotides) under uncultured bacterium. Its description in RNAcentral is "partial 16S ribosomal RNA". It matches the Rfam family "Bacterial small subunit ribosomal RNA", at positions 524 to 776 of the family's 1533-position model. The record is from RNAcentral.
UACAGAGGGGGCAAGCGUUAUUCGGAAUUAUUGGGCGUAAAGGGCGCGUAGGCGGCCUUUCAAGUGACGGGUGAAAUCCCUCGGCUUAACCGAGGAACUGCCUGUCAGACUGGAAGGCUUGAGACCGGGAGAGGUGAGUGGAAUUCCCAGUGUAGCGGUGAAAUGCGUAGAUAUUGGGAGGAACACCAGUGGCGAAGGCGGCUCACUGGACCGGAACUGACGCUGAGGCGCGAAGGCCAGGGGAGCAAACGGG